CCUACGGGUGGCUGCAGUGAGGAAUAUUGGUCAAUGGGCGCAAGCCUGAACCAGCCAAGCCGCGUGAGGGAUUAAGGCCCUGCGGGUCGUAAACCCCUUUUGCCGGGGAGCAGAGGUCAGGACGUGUCCGGGCCGGGAGAGUACCCGGCGACAAAGCAUCGGCCCACUCCGUGCCAGCAGCCGCGGUAAUACGGAGGAUGCGAGCGUUAUCCGGAUUGAUUGGGUUUACAGGGUGCGUAGGCGGGCAUUUAAGCCGGCGGUCAAAUGUCGGGGCUAAACCCGGGCUUGCCGUCGGAACUGGGUGCCUAGAGUGGGGGAGAGGUAUGCAGAAUGCGUGGUGUAGCGGUGAAAUGCGUAGAGA
RNAcentral lists this ribosomal RNA (361 nucleotides) under uncultured bacterium. RNAcentral's name for it is "partial 16S ribosomal RNA". It matches the Rfam family "Bacterial small subunit ribosomal RNA", at positions 338 to 696 of the family's 1533-position model. The record is from RNAcentral.